This 338-nucleotide unclassified non-coding RNA is filed under the name soil metagenome. Its description in RNAcentral is "partial contains 5.8S ribosomal RNA, internal transcribed spacer 2, and large subunit ribosomal RNA". The stretch from base 1 to 120 matches the Rfam family "5.8S ribosomal RNA", at positions 35 to 154 of the family's 154-position model. The record is from RNAcentral.
GAUGAAGAACGUAGCGAAAUGUGAUACGUAGUGUGAAUUGCAGAAUUCAGUGAAUCAUCGAAUCUUUGAACGCACAUUGCGCCCUUUGGUAUUCCAAAGGGCAUGCCUGUUCGAGCCUCAUUUGUACCCUCAAGCUUUGCUUGGUGUUGGGCGUCUUGUCUCCAGUCCGCUGGAGACUCGCCUUAAAGUCAUUGGCAGCCGGCCUACUGGUUUCGGAGCGCAGCACAAGUCGCACUCUUUUCCAGCCAAGGUCAGUGUCCAACAAGCCUUUUUUCAACUUUUGACCUCGGAUCAGGUAGGGAUACCCGCUGAACUUAAGCAUAUCAAUAAGCGGAGGA